This 497-nucleotide ribosomal RNA is filed under the name uncultured bacterium. RNAcentral describes it as "partial 16S ribosomal RNA". It matches the Rfam family "Bacterial small subunit ribosomal RNA", at positions 28 to 507 of the family's 1533-position model. The record is from RNAcentral.
GAUGAACGCUGGCGGCGUGCCUAAUACAUGCAAGUCGAGCGAACAGACGAGGAGCUUGCUCCUCUGACGUUAGCGGCGGACGGGUGAGUAACACGUGGAUAACCUACCUAUAAGACUGGGAUAACUUCGGGAAACCGGAGCUAAUACCGUAUAAUAUAUUGAACCGCAUGGUUCAAUAGUGAAAGACGGUUUUGCUGUCACUUAUAGAUGGAUCCGCGCCGCAUUAGCUAGUUGGUAAGGUAACGGCUUACCAAGGCAACGAUGCGUAGCCGACCUGAGAGGGUGAUCGGCCACACUGGAACUGAGACACGGUCCAGACUCCUACGGGAGGCAGCAGUAGGGAAUCUUCCGCAAUGGGCGAAAGCCCGACGGAGCAACGCCGCGUGAGUGAUGAAGGUCUUCGGAUCGUAAAACUCUGUUAUUAGGGAAGAACAAAUGUGUAAGUAACUAUGCACGUCUUGACGGUACAUAAUCAGAAAGCCACGGCUAACUACGUG